RNAcentral lists this long non-coding RNA (206 nucleotides) under Lathyrus oleraceus (garden pea). RNAcentral describes it as "Pisum sativum (pea) long non-coding RNA (PSAT_LNC039520)". Lineage: Eukaryota; Viridiplantae; Streptophyta; Magnoliopsida; Fabales; Fabaceae. The record is from RNAcentral.
UUCUCUCCCAUCACCUCUUCAUUUUCUUUGGAAAAAGACAAAAAAUCUUCCACCAUAAAUUGUUUCUCACAAACAAACAUUGGGGAUCUCCUUCUCCUCAUAGCUAUAACCAUCAUAAAAAUUUCAAAUUCAAAAAAACUCUCCCUCACUCUAAACCUGUCCACAACCGAAAACACCACGACACCACCGUGCUCCUCCAUUCAAAC